AUAUCUUUGUGUCACUGCUCUCCCGGGACAGUGUAUAUGACCUGCUGAGGAGAGUCUGCACCCACCUACAGCCUUCCAGCAAGAAGAGUCUGAGUGUAAGAGAAUUUUCAGGGGAACCUGAGUCUCUGGAAGUCCUCAUCCCUGAGAUGAAGUGGAGAAAGGUAUGCCCUUCCUCCAGGUCCCUGUCUCUCCCAGACAACAUCCCUUGUAUCCCUCCAUCAUCCGUGGACUCCACAGACAGUUUCUUCCCCUCCAGGAAGCCUCCAAUGUCUGAAAAGUCAAGAGCCCAAGUAGCUUCAGAAAAUGGUGGGAGGUGGGCAUGGCCCAUGCCAGGCUGGGGUCCUGCCUGCCCUAAGAAGAUGCCGAACUGCUCUCCCACUGCAAAGAAUGCUGUCUAUGAGGAGGAUGAGCUGGAGGAGGAGCCCAGGAGCACUGGGGAGCUGAGGCUCUGGGAUUACCGGCUCCUCAAGGUCUUCUUUGUGCUGACCAGUAGAGCAGGGAGCAUCGUGGGAAGUGACAUGAACAGCCAGCCCCUGCUUUCCCUCACCUUAGCUCAUCAGCCUCCUCUGGCUCGGCUGGCCGGGUUUUGACCAUCAACAUC
This 601-nucleotide long non-coding RNA is filed under the name Homo sapiens (human). RNAcentral's name for it is "non-protein coding lnc-PKM-66:1". The record is from RNAcentral. Lineage: Eukaryota; Metazoa; Chordata; Mammalia; Primates; Hominidae.